CCAAAGAUUCUUAAUCAUAUCAUAGAGUAUUCUCCCUCAAACGGUUUGAAGGUUAUAGAUCCAUUGUUGCGCAUUCACUUGCCUCCAUGGCUAAGUAGCUUAACCCCAACGAUGCCGUAGACACGCGCGGAUGGGGUGACUUUGACAUAAUCAAAGAUCAAGGACUUAACCACAAGACAGCUGUGAUGCCUCAAGUCAAAUGACUACUUUGCAUUAUCCCAACCAUGAGUUCUCAUGUGACAUGAAUAUGAGAACUCUUCGUUGAUC
Molecule: long non-coding RNA, 267 nt
Filed under: Malus domestica (apple)
Lineage: Eukaryota; Viridiplantae; Streptophyta; Magnoliopsida; Rosales; Rosaceae
Description: long non-coding RNA (MDOM_LNC003769)
Source: RNAcentral